Molecule: long non-coding RNA, 1018 nt
Organism: Ostrea edulis (European flat oyster)
Lineage: Eukaryota; Metazoa; Mollusca; Bivalvia; Ostreida; Ostreidae
Exons: 2
Source: RefSeq, a predicted model, not a curated record
UUUUCUUUUCUUAUUUAUUUAUUUUUUUUUGGGGGGGGGGGGAGGUGGUGUUCUUUUUCUUUAUAUUUACUGACAGAAAUUAUGGGAUUUGCUGUGUGAGAAAUUUUUAUUUUUUAUUUAUUGUUCUUUUUUCUUAUAUGUACCGACAGGAAUUCUGGGAUUUGCCGGGUGUAUGCUCAUUGUAACAGAUUACACGGAGUUGUCACGGGGAUGGUCCUUUGAUUUAUGUUUGGCAGCAUCAGUUUAUAUUUUGAUUGAGAUUAUCGCUGUCGUCACUGGGGUCAUUGUUAAUGCAGUAAGGUCAUCAAACCAAAAAUCCGGUAAAAGUCCGAAACAGUCCGAGGAGACGGAUAACGGCGGGAAUGUGUUCACGGGAAAUGUUCAGACUGACAACCAUUACAAAAGAAACACUCGGGCCGCUGAUGAUUACAAAAGAAAUGCUCAGAGUGACACUGACUCCAAAAGUAACAGCCUACUUAAAUCUGCUCAGGUGGCCAUCAUAGCAAGCACUGAGCUCUUCAAAAUACCCAAAUGGUGAAAUAAAAACUGGUACAUAUUUCUUGAAUAGUUGAGUGCAUUGACUUCCAGAACAACCGAAAGAAACGCUUUCAUUGGUUAAAAAGAUAAUUCGUCACAGAUGAACUUUGAGGCAGGCUUAUUAUAUGAAUGAUUAUCAGGGGAGGGGUUAUUGAUGUGAAUAAUAAUCGGGGGAGGAGUUAUUGAUGUGAAUAAUAAUCGGGGGAGGGGGGGGGGUGAUAGAGUGUUUGAUUAGACCCAGACUCCAUUCUGACAUUCACACUGCGCGGGACAAGGUUAAUCUAGUUAGCUUGGCCUCUAUAAGGUAAAUAUUGGGUGAUGUUACUCGGAACUUAAUCUAAGAAGCCGUUUGUCAGAUAUACAUGUACAAUACAAACCUCGCAAGGUUGGGUAGAGUACGGUGAUUGGUUAAAAUGUUUUACGUUGUAACUGUGUUACUUAAAUAAAAAAUCAAUAAAAAGGAUAAUAGAACAGAGCGAUA